GCAGCCGCGGUAAUUCCAGCUCCAAUAGCGUAUAUUAAAGUUGUUGCAGUUAAAAAGCUCGUAGUUGAAUUUCGGGGUCAGCAGGUUGGUCGUGCCACUGGUAUGCACUGGUCUCUCUGAUUCCUCCCUCUUGUAGAACCGUAAUGCCAUUAAGUUGGUGUUGCGGGGAAACAGGACUGUUACUUUGAAAAAAUUAGAGUGUUUAAAGCAAGCUAACGCUUGAAUACAUUAGCAUGGAAUAAUGAAAUAGGACGAUCGAUCCUAUUUUGUUGGUUUCUAGGGUUGACGUAAUGAUUAAUAGGGAUAGUUGGG
Molecule: ribosomal RNA, 312 nt
Filed under: uncultured Glomus
Lineage: Eukaryota; Fungi; Glomeromycota; Glomeromycetes; Glomerales; Glomeraceae
Description: SSU rRNA
Rfam family: Eukaryotic small subunit ribosomal RNA
Source: RNAcentral